CCGAAUUAGUCACUUUGCUGGGUGGAUUAGUGGCGAACGGGUGAGUAACACGUGAGUAACCUGCCCUUAACUCUGGGAUAAGCCUGGGAAACUGGGUCUAAUACCGGAUAGGAGCGUCCACCGCAUGGUGGGUGUUGGAAAGAUUUAUCGGUUUUGGAUGGACUCGCGGCCUAUCAGCUUGUUGGUGAGGUAAUGGCUCACCAAGGCGACGACGGGUAGCCGGCCUGAGAGGGUGACCGGCCACACUGGGACUGAGACACGGCCCAGACUCCUACGGGAGGCAGCAGUGGGGAAUAUUGCACAAUGGGCGCAAGCCUGAUGCAGCGACGCCGCGUGAGGGAUGACGGCCUUCGGGUUGUAAACCUCUUUCAGUAGGGAAGAAGCGAAAGUGACGGUACCUGCAGAAGAAGCACCGGCUAACUACGUGCCAGCAGCCGCGGUAAUACGUAGGGUGCGAGCGUUAUCCGGAAUUAUUGGGCGUAAAGAGCUCGUAGGCGGUUUGUCGCGUCUGUCGUGAAAGUCCGGGGCUUAACCCCGGAUCUGCGGUGGGUACGGGCAGACUAGAGUGCAGUAGGGGAGACUGGAAUUCCUGGUGUAGCGGUGGAAUGCGCAGAUAUCAGGAGGAACACCGAUGGCGAAGGCAGGUCUCUGGGCUGUAACUGACGCUGAGGAGCGAAAGCAUGGGGAGCGAACAGGAUUAGAUACCCUGGUAGUCCAUGCCGUAAACGUUGGGCACUAGGUGUGGGGACCAUUCCACGGUUUCCGCGCCGCAGCUAACGCAUUAAGUGCCCCGCCUGGGGAGUACGGCCGCAAGGCUAAAACUCAAAGGAAUUGACGGGGGCCCGCACAAGCGGCGGAGCAUGCGGAUUAAUUCGAUGCAACGCGAAGAACCUUACCAAGGCUUGACAUGUUCUCGAUCGCCGUAGAGAUACGGUUUCCCCUUUGGGGCGGGUUCACAGGUGGUGCAUGGUUGUCGUCAGCUCGUGUCGUGAGAUGUUGGGUUAAGUCCCGCAACGAGCGCAACCCUCGUUCCAUGUUGCCAGCACGUCGUGGUGGGGACUCAUGGGAGACUGCCGGGGUCAACUCGGAGGAAGGUGAGGACGACGUCAAAUCAUCAUGCCCCUUAUGUCUUGGGCUUCACGCAUGCUACAAUGGCCGGUACAAUGGGUUGCGAUACUGUGAGGUGGAGCUAAUCCCAAAAAGCCGGUCUCAGUUCGGAUUGGGGUCUGCAACUCGACCCCAUGAAGUCGGAGUCGCUAGUAAUCGCAGAUCAGCAAGCGUUGGCGGAUGACCCCUC
RNAcentral lists this ribosomal RNA (1297 nucleotides) under Micrococcus sp. Its description in RNAcentral is "bacterial SSU rRNA". It matches the Rfam family "Bacterial small subunit ribosomal RNA", at positions 62 to 1375 of the family's 1533-position model. Lineage: Bacteria; Bacillati; Actinomycetota; Actinomycetes; Micrococcales; Micrococcaceae. The record is from RNAcentral.